GUAAAACAAACCUGCUUCGACGGAGAGGCCAUUUGGCUUGCCUCCGAAGCACCUCAGCUGGGUGUAGAUCAAGCGCGGUGUGUGAUUCGCCCCACCGAGAACUGCGAAGAUCACUCACGGUGGAACACCGUACCAUUGAUUUUUUCCUGUUCCGCGGAGGAGGAAGACUGGCAUCAUGGUAGAUAGUCCGUUAAUGGUGGCCGGUGUAUUUGGUGAUCCUCCGGCCGGACAUCUCGACGCAACUGGCGAUGUUGUGCUUGAUAGGAUCGACUCUACGCACAUAUGCGGUAGCAUGCCCAUGGUGACGAACGGUACAACGAACAAUGCCGGGCAAACGGAUCCUUGCGUCGGUGGAGCGUUGAUGACGAUCAAUUCGGAAGGAUGGAAACGGAGGGUGAGAGUGCCUGCUGGGACGUUGGAACAGCCGUCAAAUCCAGCUAGAGCGUCAGCGCUGGAGCUGUCGGUGAAGAAAUUUGUGGAGAAGAGAAGCCAGUUCGUCGUCUACCCUGCAGUAGCGACGAAAUUUGAUAGCCUGGAUGACGCUUACAAUUUUUACAACCUGUAUUCUUGGGAGAUAGGUUUUGGGGUCAGGUAUGCAAAGUGCAGGCUCAACGUGCACAGGCAGAAAUGCAUGCAGGAGAUUGUUUGUGGUUGCGCGGGAAGCCGGUCAAGGAGAACACCAAGACUAUCAGGUGCGCCUGCACCGCAUUGAUUAGGCUUCUUCGUUCGGAUGAUGGCGGCUGGUACAUAUGUGAGCACAGAGAGACUCACAAUCACCCAUUGUCAACCACCUGUGGCGAGAAGCUGCAUUGGCAAUCACAUAGGCACAUCGACCGUUACACUAAGGAGUUAAUUAAGCAGCUUAGGGAGAACAACGUUAGCUUGGGAAAAGUUUAUAGCAUCAUAGGUAGUUUCUUCGGUUCGAUGGACCAAAUUCCUUUCAUGAAGCGCUCCUUGAAAACACUCUGCGGCAAGAUUAGCCAGGAACAGUCCGACAACGAUGCGGUGAAAACAAUGGACGUCUUCAGUAAGAUGCUUGAAGCUGAUCCUGAUUUCAAGUAUACCGCCCAAGUGGACGACGAAAGCAGGAUUAAAACAUUGAUGUGGACUUCUGGUAGGAGCAUGUAUCAGUAUAUUUGUUUUGGUGACGUACUAAUGGUUUGACACAACGUAUAGAACAAACCUAUAUGACAUGCCUUUCAGCCUUUUCGUGGGAGUUAACAACCACUUCCAGAGCAUAAUCCUGGGUGGGGUGCUCAUGCGUGACGAGAAGGUGGAAACUUUCAAGUGGGUGUUCGCCAAAUUCAUGAGGAUGAUAGGCGGGAAGGACAAGCACCUGAAGACUAUACUGACAGACCAGGCCCGGGCCAUGGAGGUGGCAAUAGCUGAUGUCUUUCCAAAUACGAUGCACAGGUGGUGCAAGUGGCAUGUGCUCAAGAAGGCAAAAGAAUCCCUCGGCGCUUUGUAUGGUAAACGUAGCGAGUUUCGUACAGAUUUCCACCACGUGGUAGACAUGAUGUGCAGCGAAGAGGAGUUUGAGAAAUGUUGGACCGAGAUGAUUGGUAAGUA
This is a long non-coding RNA of Brachypodium distachyon (stiff brome), 1569 nucleotides long. RefSeq lists it as uncharacterized. The transcript has 5 exons. The record is from RefSeq and is a predicted model, not a curated record. NCBI's taxonomy places the organism in Eukaryota, Viridiplantae, Streptophyta, Magnoliopsida, Poales, Poaceae.